GUCCACGCCGUAAACGAUGAGUGCUUGAUGUUGGGGGGCCUAGCCCCUCAGUGUCGUAGCUAACGUGAUAAGCACUCCGCCUGGGGAGUACGGCCGCAAGGUUAAAACUCAAAGGAAUUGACGGGGGCCCCGCACAAGCUGUGGAGCAUGUGGUUCAAUUCGACGCAACGCGAAGAACCUUACCAGCUCUUGACAUUAGACGUAUGGGGCCGAGAGAUCGGCUCCUUCAGUUCGGCUGGCGUCCAAACAGGUGCUGCAUGGCUGUCGU
This 268-nucleotide ribosomal RNA is filed under the name uncultured bacterium. RNAcentral describes it as "partial 16S ribosomal RNA". It matches the Rfam family "Bacterial small subunit ribosomal RNA", at positions 793 to 1055 of the family's 1533-position model. The record is from RNAcentral.